RNAcentral lists this ribosomal RNA (550 nucleotides) under uncultured archaeon. RNAcentral describes it as "bacterial SSU rRNA". It matches the Rfam family "Archaeal small subunit ribosomal RNA", at positions 326 to 878 of the family's 1478-position model. The record is from RNAcentral.
CGGGGUGCAACAGGCGCGAAACCUCUGCAAUAGGCGAAAGCUUGACAGGGUUACUCUGAGUGAUGCCCGCUAAGGGCAUCUUUUGGCACCUCUAAAAAUGGUGCAGAAUAAGGGGUGGGCAAGUCUGGUGUCAGCCGCCGCGGUAAUACCAGCACCCCGAGUGGUCGGGACGAUUAUUGGGCCUAAAGCAUCCGUAGCUCGUUCUGCAAGUCCCCCGUUAAAUCCACCUGCUCAACAGAUGGGCUGCGGAGGAUACUACAGGGCUAGGAGGCGGGAGAGGCAAGCGGUACUCAGUGGGUAGGGGUAAAAUCCUCUGAUCCACUGAAGACCACCAGUGGCGAAGGCGGCUUGCCAGAACGCGCUCGACGGUGAGGGAUGAAAGCUGGGGGAGCAAACCGGAUUAGAUACCCGGGUAGUCCCAGCUGUAAACGAUGCAGACUCGGUGAUGGGUUGGCUUUGCGCCAACCCAGUGCCGCAGGGAAGCCGUUAAGUCUGCCGCCUGGGGAGUACGGUCGCAAGACUGAAACUUAAAGGAAUUGGCGGGGGAGCA